UUGCCAUCAACAUCACUUUGCUUUGCUUUAUUUACUAUAACUCAAUCACUACAACAAAGACUUGAUCAGUAUAUAACAAAGCUAAGGAAUGCAAGUAGGGAAACGCCUUGUAGAACACUCCAAUCAAUUGUAAAACAUAUGGAUGAAUUGUAAAACCGUUUGUGAACUCCACAAAAUAUGAACCUUUUUGAUGAAAACAAAGGCUCAUCCAUGCGGGGUGAAUGAGAGCGACCACUUGUCUACUUGAGCGAUCUUAAUAUAUAUAGGCUAGUGUAACCAAAGGGAAUAACUACAUCCAAAUAGCAUUGCCAGACUUAUGUCAACGUCAUACUCAGGUCGAUACAAAGGAAACUAGACUGGAUAUGCCAAGAGAAUCGCAAAUGAUUUGCUGUUACCCAACAUACGGAAGAGUCUGUGAAGACGAGACAACCACAAGAGGAAGGAUUCUAAUCAGAUCAACUGACGCUGACCUCGACCAGUGGAUUCAAAACCCUGUGCCAAUCGAUGACCUAUAUUCUAACGUGCGUAACCACUGAGCAAUAAAAAACUUAUUACACAACUCAAAUACACAGUUCCAGUUCUCACUUCAUUGCAUACCCCUUGCUGGAGAUACAAGCAACUGCAGACAAAUGUGGGUGCCUGUCGCUAGCGGAUG
RNAcentral lists this long non-coding RNA (655 nucleotides) under Physcomitrium patens. RNAcentral's name for it is "long non-coding RNA (PPAT_LNC002676)". The record is from RNAcentral. Lineage: Eukaryota; Viridiplantae; Streptophyta; Bryopsida; Funariales; Funariaceae.